UGGGGAAUAUUGCACAAUGGGCGAAAGCCUGAUGCAGCGACGCCGCGUGAGGGAUGACGGCCUUCGGGUUGUAAACCUCUUUCAGCAGGGAAGAAGCGAAAGUGACGGUACCUGCAGAAGAAGCGCCGGCUAACUACGUGCCAGCAGCCGCGGUAAUACGUAGGGCGCAAGCGUUGUCCGGAAUUAUUGGGCGUAAAGAGCUCGUAGGCGGUUAGUCGCGUCUGCUGCGAAAACUCGAGGCUCAACCUCGGGCUUGCAGUGGGUACGGGCUGACUAGAGUGCGGUAGGGGUGACUGGAAUUCCUGGUGUAGCGGUGGAAUGCGCAGAUAUCAGGAGGAACACCGAUGGCGAAGGCAGGUCACUGGGCCGCAACUGACGCUGAGGAGCGAAAGCAUGGGGAGCGAACAGGAUUAGAUACCCUGGUAGUCCAUGCCGUAAACGUUGGGCACUAGGUGUGGGGUCCAUUUCCACGGAUUCCGUGCCGCAGCAAACGCAUUAAGUGCCCCGCCUGGGGAGUACGGCCGCAAGGCUAAAACUUAAAGGAAUUGAC
Molecule: ribosomal RNA, 550 nt
Filed under: uncultured bacterium
Lineage: Bacteria
Description: partial 16S ribosomal RNA
Rfam family: Bacterial small subunit ribosomal RNA
Source: RNAcentral